This 46-nucleotide non-coding RNA is filed under the name Schistosoma mansoni. Lineage: Eukaryota; Metazoa; Platyhelminthes; Trematoda; Strigeidida; Schistosomatidae. The record is from RNAcentral.
GCACGGCUGAGGAGUUGCAGAAUAAGACGAAGCGGCCGUCCAGUGC